CUCGCCCCGCCGCCCGGUAAGCAUCCAGUUCCACCGCGCCUCCUUCCCCAAGCCCAACGCCAUGGAAGGCUCGGACCCGAGCUCGCCGUUGGCGUGAUGAGCUCCGUCGGAUCCCCUCCUCCGUCCACAAGCCCCGGGACGCCGCCGUGACUCCGUUACACGCCUUCCCCGAGUCGGAUCGCCAAUUUCCUCGACAUCUUCUUCCUCUGCUCGACUUCUUCAGGGAACGCGAACACCUCCACGAUCAGCGCUUCUUCCUGUACGCCUCCGUCGUCGCGUACCCGGCCUCCACGUCGUAUCCUUCGAGCCCAUGGUGAGCAGUCGCCCCUCCCCAGUCCUUCCCCGGCGUGAUUUUCAUCCCGUAGGCGUCGUUUUGAUCUUGACCGAGGCACGUCCGCCAUGGCCGUUUCUGAACAAAGCCGAGGCUCUGUUUCCACGCACCAGCACACCUUGCUGCCGCCCCUUGCUGCCGCCCCUUGCUGCACUUGCGCACCUUGCCAGAUGCUGCUUCCGCCCGCACACCAGGCUGUCGCCGUCGCCUCGCCGCAGACCCGCAACCUCACCAGUUUCCGCAUGCACGCACACCAGCAGCUCUCGCGCGCAAUCAGAGCCUCGCCCGUCGCCUUGCAGUCAUCCCAUGCAUCGCCGUGGUCGCCGCCAUGGCCACAAGCUCGGCCUCCCGCAAGCCCCACCUGUGCAUCCACACACACAGCAAGCGCCCGCCACAACCAAGUUUCCCUUGCCUAUUUCCGCACCCCCGCCGGUGCUCUACUGCGGCAGAGGCCGCUGCCUUUGGUCACCGCCGUUGCCGUCGGUUGUCGUUGUGCAGCCAUGGUCAAAGUCGAUCUGCUGAUCGAUAGCUCAAAGGAGCCAGGGAGCAUUGCAUAUUUACAGAAUUGCCACUGUUUUACAUUAUCUAUAGCUAAAUAUCCAUGCAUCCAAAUAAAAUAUGUCAUAUAUGAAUCUUGCUUAUAUUUUCAUCUACUUUCACAAUAUCACACUUUCAUCCAGGGAAACGUUUCCCUAUGGUGCGCCGUUCGAGCGUUUCGGCUGGUCGUGCACGCGCACUUUCUUUUACUCUUGCUGCUAGUAGGCCCACCCCAUCGCUUUUUCUCAUACCUUAUCGUCUCGCACCCGCUCUCUCCACAGCCUGUCAUUUGCUCUUCUUCAUCCCGCAUCUCAGCUUUUCUCCUCUAACAAAUCGCCAGCAACGGCAUGGCUGCCCAUCGCCCCCGGCCACCCGUCGCCGGCAGGCGAGGUCGUCGGCGUCGACUCAACUGAGGCUGCGUGCUGCAACCCGCCACGACGGACAGCCGCUAGCCUGGGGCGACGGCCUGGCCGUGCGCCACCACACCCCGAGUCCUCUUGCGUUUGCGCUGCACGCUCCGACGAGGCCUUGCUACGAGCGGCGACCGGUCGCCGGAGACUGGCACAGCAGCGAGGCAUGCUGCAACCUGCGUCCGUCGAAGCUGGAACCGCCAUCUCGGCGUGCUGCAACCAGGCAACACAGAGCUGCGACGGGGGCGGGUGGCGACGGGCGGGGCUGGGAUUGCUGGAGCCAGCGACGGGAGGUACUACAACCGGUGUCAUCGGGAGCAUCGACGGUCCGCGGCGGUGCUCCAAAUUUUUCUUUGGUGGAAAGACAACGAGGUGGCUUCUUUUGCUGGAACCGGCCCAUACUUUUGCUACUACCUUCUUUUGAUUUUGCUGGAGCCGGCUAGAAAUUUGCUACUACCGUAUUUUGAUUUUCGCUGAAAGAAGCCUAAUUUUUUGCGACCACCGUCUUCUACUUUUGCUGGAACCAGUAUUUGAUUUUGUUUUUUGCUGGAAACAUUAUUUGAUUUUGCUGGAACCAGCGAGUGGAUUUGCUACAACUAGCGCCCAGAUUUGCUACAAACCACAACAAUGAAGUGUCGCCGGCGGUGACGGUGCUGUGAUUUUUGCUACAACCGGUGCCCAGAUUUGCUACAAGCCUACAACCAACGACAACGAAGUGUGGCCGGCGACGACGGUGCUGCGAUUAUUUUUGGUUGCAACCAGGGAACGGCGAGCGUGGCCGGCGAAGACGACACACGAUUUUUUGUUGCUGCAGCGGGUGCUGGGAUUUUAUGCGGAACCAUGGGGGCUCCUGGAACUGCGGUUGUCCGGGAUCGAGAAUGGCGAGCUGGCGGCGCGGGAGAGGAAGGAUUCUCUCGUUCGUGCUAUUGGCGAGUCACGACAGCGCGUAGGGGGUGCAGCGAGCGACGCCGGGAGGAGGGAUUCGCCCAGGUCUCUGAUUUGGGGACGAAGCAGUGGGGAAUAAGAAGAUAUGAUGACGUGGGGAUAGGGAUCGGAUGGCUAUGGGGUACAAAAUCGGACGGAUUGCGUGCGACCGGCCGAACCGUAGUGCCGGUCCGCCGGCGCCUAACAAUCGCCUUUCAUCCAUGAUAAAAAUGCUUAAAAUUGUUGUUUGCUUUUUUACUUAAAUGGCAUGCUAAAAUGGUUUAUUUCAUAACUAAAUAACCGUAACUCUGAAUUUAAUAAAUUAUAUAUGUAACGUGCUCAGAAAAAUGCAUAGAUAAACUUGGUGCACUUAUUUUGCAUGCUUAACAACUCUAAAAUUGUGUAUAGGUAGAACAGUACCAAAUUUAAAAUAUGCGCAUGAGAAUUUUCCGGAAUUGUUGUUCGUUGUUCCGGCCUCAUUUAAACUUGCCUAAAUAGUUACUUUACUUAUGCUUCACCUCUUGCCAUGUCUAACAACAUUUAAUAUUGUUGGGUACAUAAACGAGAGCGAACUAAAUAACUUUAUUGCGGUGUUUCGUCAAUACGCAACGAGUUGCAUAUUGAGCUCCACUUAAUUUGUAGUAUUGUUUGUUGCACUUUGCCAUGCCAUGCCUCAUUAAACCGGACAUGCAUCAUAUUUGGUUGUGCACCAUGCCAUGCUUAAGUGAUGGUUGUUUACCAUGUUUUUUGCUUCUUUCCGGUUGCGCUUCUCCUUGAUAGUUCCGGUUACGUUGCGAUUGUGAGGAUCCGUUCGACUACGUUGGUUCGUCUUCUUCAUGGACUCGUUCUUCUUCCUAGCGGGAUUUCGGGCAAGAUGACCGUCACCUUGGAUCUCACUACUAUCUUUGCUUUGCUAGUUGUCUCGAUGCUAUCGCUAUGUCGCGCUACCUACCACUUGUUAAUCAAGCCUCCCAAAAUUGCCAUGACAGCCUCUAACCUUUUCACUCUUUCUAGCAAACCGUUGUUUGGCUAUGUUACCGCUUUGCUCAGCCCCUCUUAUAGCGUUGCUAAUUGCAGGUGCAGUUGCAGGUUGUUCCAUGUUGGGACAUGGAUACCAUGGAUAUCUUGGGAUAUCACAAUAUCUCUUAUUUAAUUAAUGCACAUAUAUACUAGGUAAAGGGUGGAAGGCUCGGCCUUAUGCAUGGUGUUUUGUUCCACUCUUGCCGCCCUAGUUUCCGUCAUACCGGUGUUAUGUUCCUGGAUUUUGCGUCCCCAACACGGUGAGGGUUUAUGGGCCCCUCUUGACAGUUCGCUUUGAAUAAAACUCUUCUAGCAAGGCCCAACAUUGGUUUUACAUUUGCCACAAUAAUACUUGAACUAAAUAAUUAAUUGGCAUAGGGCGUCAUGAACCCGAGGAUUCUUUUCUACAUACAGGGCAGGGGCCAGUGCCGAUGGUGUUGGUCCCAACUAGAGCACCAUGCGGGACCGACCCUAGGAAACUUGGUUAUAUGGAUCCUGUACGCUUCGCUCAUCCGGACGUGGCCCGAGACGAGAUACGCGCGGCUACUAUCAGGGUGUCGGCACGCCGGGAUGUCUUGCUGGAUUAGUUUUACCAUUAUCAAAAUGUCUUGUGCACCGGGAUUCCGAGUCUGAUCAGAGGUCCCGCGAUGGAGGAUUGUCUCCGCGGAUCGUGAGCUUGUCAUGGAAUAAGUUGGGACAGCCCUGCAGGGUUUAAUCUUUCGAAAGCCGUGCCCAUGGUUAUGUGGCAGAUGGGAAUUUGUUAAUAUCCGGAUGUAGAGGACUUGAAAUAACUCAAUUAAAAUACACCAACCGCGUUGUGUAACCGUGACUGUCUCUUUUCGGGAAAGUUCGAGAGGAGAACACGGUUGGGUUAUGUUUGAACGUAAGUAGUUCAGGAUCACUUCUUGAUCAUUACUAGUUGGCUAUUGUUGUGUAGUUUCUCAUCUUACUCUUGUACUCGUAAGUUAACCACCAUACAUGCUUAGCCACUUGCUGCAACCUCACCACUUACCCUUCCAUACCCAUUAAGCUUUGCUAGUCUUGAUACCCAUGGUAAUGGGAUUGUUGAGUCCUCGUGGCUCACAGAUUACUACAACAACAGUUGCAGGUGCAGGUAAUGCGAUGUUCAUGACGUGACAGCGAUGUUUGCCUGUUUUGGAGUUCUUCUUCUUCGUUGAUCUUGGGAUAUGUUCCUGCUUGGCAGCCCGGGCUAGCAGGGUGGAUGUCGUUUGAGUUUCUGUGUGUGUUUCAUCCGUAGUCGGAUGUUGUUCUCUUGUAUGAUGUUGAUGUAUUCUUGCGGCAUUUGUAUGCCCUUUGUAUGUAUCCCCAACUAUUAUGUAAUGGUACGAUGUAAUGAUAUCCACCUUGCAAAAGUGUGUCAAUAUGCGGUUCUAUCCUUGGUGGGACCUUCGAAUUCCUUUAGGAUAGAGUCGCAUAUUGGGCGUGACACGGGGCUUGGUCGACUCUAUGGUCCAGGCGGAGCUUGG
RNAcentral lists this long non-coding RNA (4709 nucleotides) under Triticum aestivum (bread wheat). RNAcentral describes it as "long non-coding RNA (TAES_LNC000141)". The record is from RNAcentral. Lineage: Eukaryota; Viridiplantae; Streptophyta; Magnoliopsida; Poales; Poaceae.